GGUCUAUUAGCUCGGUUGGUUAGAGCGUGGUACUAAUAAUGGCAAGGUCACAGGCUCGGCCCUGUAUGGACCA
RNAcentral lists this transfer RNA (73 nucleotides) under Sphaerobolus stellatus SS14. RNAcentral describes it as "tRNA-Ile (AAT) (tRNA-Ile-AAT-38-1)". Lineage: Eukaryota; Fungi; Basidiomycota; Agaricomycetes; Geastrales; Sphaerobolaceae. The record is from RNAcentral.